RNAcentral lists this transfer RNA (65 nucleotides) under Binodoxys acalephae. Its description in RNAcentral is "tRNA-Ala". The record is from RNAcentral. Lineage: Eukaryota; Metazoa; Arthropoda; Insecta; Hymenoptera; Braconidae.
UGAAAUAAUAGUUUAAUAAAAAUUUUUAAUUUGCAAUUAAAGGAUAUUUGAUAAAUUUAUUUUAA